UGGGGAAUUUUGCACAAUGGGGGAAACCCUGAUGCAGCGACGCCGCGUGAUUUAGAAGGCCUUCGGGUUGUAAAAAUCUUUUGUAUGGGAAGAAAAUGACAGUACCAUACGAAUAAGGACUGGCUAAUUACGUGCCAGCAGCCGCGGUAAUACGUAAGGUCCGAGCGUUGUCCGGAAUCAUUGGGCGUAAAGGGUACGUAGGCGGAUAAGCAAGUUAGAAGUGAAAUCCUAUAGCUCAACUAUAGUAAGCUUUUAAAACUGCUCAUCUUGAGGUAUGGAAGGGAAAGUGGAAUUCCUAGUGUAGCGGUGAAAUGCGCAGAUAUUAGGAGGAAUACCGGUGGCGAAGGCGACUUUCUGGCCAUAUACUGACGCUGAGGUACGAAAGCGUGGGUAGCAAACAGG
This 402-nucleotide ribosomal RNA is filed under the name Verrucomicrobiota bacterium. RNAcentral's name for it is "Verrucomicrobia bacterium partial 16S ribosomal RNA". It matches the Rfam family "Bacterial small subunit ribosomal RNA", at positions 355 to 776 of the family's 1533-position model. The record is from RNAcentral. Lineage: Bacteria; Pseudomonadati; Verrucomicrobiota.